UACGUAGGGGGCGAGCGUUAUCCGGAAUUAUUGGGCGUAAAGAGUGCGUAGGUGGUUGUUUAAGCGUGGGGUGAAAGGCAAUAGCUUAACUAUUGUAAGCCCCGCGAACUGGGCGACUUGAGUGCAGGAGAGGAAAGCGGAAUUCCUAGUGUAGCGGUGAAAUGCGUAGAUAUUAGGAGGAACACCAGUGGCGAAGGCGGCUUUCUGGACUGUAACUGACACUGAGGCACGAAAGCGUGGGGAGCAAACAGGAUUAGAUACCCUGGUAGUCCACGCCGUAAACGAUGAGCACUAGGUGUCGGGGCCGCAAGGCUUCGGUGCCGCAGUUAACGCAUUAAGUGCUCCGCCUGGGGAGUACGCACGCAAGUGUGAA
Molecule: ribosomal RNA, 373 nt
Filed under: uncultured bacterium
Lineage: Bacteria
Description: bacterial SSU rRNA
Rfam family: Bacterial small subunit ribosomal RNA
Source: RNAcentral